UACGGAGGGGGCUAGCGUUGUUCGGAAUUACUGGGCGUAAAGCGCGCGUAGGCGGCUUUGUAAGUUGGAAGUGAAAUCCCGGAGCUUAACUCCGGAACUGCUUUCAAAACUGCAAAGCUAGAGAGUGGUAGAGGAUAGUGGAAUUCCCAGUGUAGAGGUGAAAUUCGUAGAGAUUGGGAGGAACACCAGUGGCGAAAGCGGCUAUCUGGGCCAUUUCUGACGCUAAGGCGCGAAAGCGUGGGGAUCAAACAGG
Molecule: ribosomal RNA, 253 nt
Filed under: uncultured bacterium
Lineage: Bacteria
Description: partial 16S ribosomal RNA
Rfam family: Bacterial small subunit ribosomal RNA
Source: RNAcentral